Pieris brassicae (large cabbage white) is the source of this 2067-nucleotide long non-coding RNA. RefSeq lists it as uncharacterized. The transcript has 4 exons. The record is from RefSeq and is a predicted model, not a curated record. Lineage: Eukaryota; Metazoa; Arthropoda; Insecta; Lepidoptera; Pieridae.
CGUUUCAACUUAUAGGAGGUCACGUACGCAAAAAUGCUAUUGACUUUAGGUACCUAAACUCAUCUCUCUAUUCAACUUUUCUUGCGAAUUGAAUUCCUGUGUGAUGCCAUCAAAAACAUUACUUGUAAAAAAACAAAAUUGCAACGUUGUUCCUCUACCGUAAAAAGUUGUGAGAUACCUGUAAUCCAUACUUACGCUCUCUUUAAUCGGCAGCUCAUGUCCAAGCGUCGUGGUCAGCAACGAAGCAUCUAGAGCAGACUAUCUGUUUCUACCGGUUUCUGUCCAGCGCCUCUAUUACGACAGUGUACAGUUUUCAGGACGAUGAGUUGAUGAGACUUUCACUUGACGGUACACCUGGUUGGUGAACGGCCACGUGAUGUUUUGCCUUCUGUGUUACCUACCACGAUCUGAUUCUCCAAGUUCUCAUCGCCUCUGCGCAUUGUAUGACCGAAAUAAGAUACGAUUGGUAGAUAGUGACCAUAUCAGUAUUAGAAAUCUUUUGUGUUUUAAAUAAAUACAUUGACUUGGCCAUCGUAGCAAACACAAUAUUCAAUUACAUUGUUUUGUGCGAUUCAGGAUUCUAACUUUAUCCACAACGAAGUUAAAGGGGUCGAAAAUGGCCUGAACUCAAGAAAAAGAUAGUAUGGCCCAGUUUCUUUUUUGCUCGACAUGGCGAGCGCAUCGCCUUGCCACCAAAUUAACUGAUAUUAUGAAACUUCUUUCACUCCUUGAAGGUCGUGUCUAGUACAUUAAAUAUAAUAAUGACAUAAUGUCAUUCAAAUUAUAAUAUUAAAAUAAAGGUCAUUUGUAUUCACAGAGUAGAGCAAGAUGUGACAGUGACUGUCUAAUGAUGAUUUUUGUUUUUGCACAGUUACUCUAACAAUUAAAAUAUUAUUUGAAAUUGCUUUUUCCAGGUAUCCAUGUCGAUAAUAAUAAUGAUGAACGCCAUCACGUUAUUUCUCAGCAUAUUCCUUUUCACAUCUGUCUAUGGUCUGGACGGCUCUGGUAGUUGGCUGAAUAGUUUUUCAAACAUGGGUCCUGGGUGAAAAAUCUUGAUUUGAGACCUAAUAUAGCCGUUCAUGUUUCACGGCCACGGGCGAAGUUGGUGAAUGCGGAUCAUAUUACAACUGUUAUGAUGCGCCCCAGGAUGAUAUAGGAAGCACAUCCGGAUGUUUACACUACCUUCAUGUCUGCUGUAUAAAUGUGCCUACCGAUGAUGAGGAUUUAGAAAUUUAAAACUUAAUUUAAUGAAAUGUUUUAGGUAGCAUAAUGCUCACUAAACAAUAGUUCAUUUAAUCUAUAAUUACAUUUACAGCCAGUUUUAAAGGGCGAUAAACUCUCCCUCUUUAAAUCGCCAUUUUAGUUUACAAGAGACGCGUUAAUCUAUAAUAAUUCUCAUGAGACAGCGAAAUAUAGUGAAGUGUAUUAAAGUGAACGGGAUACAAAAUGGUGUCUUUGUUCUGUGUUAUGAAACAUCUUGUUUAUGUUCUAAUAUGUACAAAAUUGACAAAAACUGCAGAAGACGAACUAAACAUCAAAAGAAACUUUAACUCUGACAGGAAUUACCGUCUUAAACGGGAAUUAAUUACAAUAUUCAUAUAAGACGUUGUCGUGGUUUUCAGCACCAGGUAUCUAUGCGAAUUACAAUAUAUUUCAAUGAAUGUUAUUGAAAUGUCAUUACCUAUAAAGAAAACAAAACUUGGAAGCUAUACUGCCGUUGGAGCUUAAAAUAAAUAUUAUCAGUAGAAUCCUUUUACCUAAUAUAGAUUGUUUUUAUUUCCGUAUACUACACACAAUUGACGUGGACAAACAACAAUUUUAUACCUUAUAUCUUCACGUCAUUUUCCCGGUAGGCCGACGAUCUUGCAAAAGUCCUGACAACUCUCUUGCUUCAUCCACUUUCAUGACAUCCACCAUGUAUGCUCGAAUAUGGCUACUUUUAAUUUGUACCUUCUCUUGUAUUGUUUCGUUGUAUAUCCUACUUAAGUGCUCUCAUUCAUCCGUCAGGCCUUGUACAGGGUGACCUUGUGUCUGAGAGACAUUUGACUCCUUUUAUUUAGGAGGAAA